UCUUGCAAUUAUCCUUUUAAACACAAUCACGCAAUCCUUAAUUCGUGAGGACACCCUUUAAUUUGGGGAUACAAUUUGUUGCAAUCUUUUCAGAUUCAAAACAUAGGAAAAUCAUAACGAAGACAAACAUAUGUACUUAGCCACAUACACCUUUUGAAUACAAGCUUCAUAUCAACAUUCUCAUAAAAUCUAAAGAUCAAAAGCAGUAACCCAAACUAGAUUUUUAGUUCGAAUAAUUGAGCUACCUCGGGUUUGCAGGCUGGAAAGAUACAGCAGAAGAGGAAAAAUUAAGAUGAUGAUGAAAAAAAAAAAAAAAAAAUCGAAGUAAACAUAACUCUUGGCUCAGUUCCUUCCCCCAUUUUGCAUUUCCUUCGAAACUAACUGCAUGAGAACGGCAAAAGAAGAUGCAUCAAUCGUAAUAGUUGGAUAAUUAAACAAGUCAAAAGCAGCCCUUCUACAAGCUAUCAUGCUAUACAAAUUUUAGGUAGAAACAGAUACUAGCACUAUCUGAUUCAUAGAUAUUCAAUGUAUGCAAUGAAACGAUCCCUUAAACUAUAUAAUAGUUCAAGGUGAACAGCUAAAGAACUUAGAACAGCAAGGCCAACCAGCUGCGAGCAAUGUACUAGCACACAAUGAAAAUAAAAAUUGUCCCGCCCUAGUAUUAUACAGGCAAAAGUGGCCAAUAUGAAGAGAUUCCACAAAUAGAAGAGGUGAAAUCGCCCUGGUCAAUUAAAAAUUGGUUAGCAGUAAACAGAUUAAUAGCUUCUACACUUCAACUCUUCCUUGUGGCGAACCAUAAUUAAACACUUCUCAAGUGCCAGAUGGUUAUUCUUCAUUUUUCCCAAGUAUCUUUCCAGGCUGAUAAUUGUGUAGAUAGAGCAAGAAACAGGUGAUAUAGGCCUACACACACCCCCCAUAAAAAGGGGGGGGGGGGGGGGUUGUUGCAGGCCAGAGCAGUAGGAGUAAACAGAAAGGGAGGGAUGAGGGUAAUUUCUUCUGAUUGUUAUAGAAGAAAGGUUGCAAAGCAGGAAAGAAAAAGAAAUUUUAAGUUUUUUGAGAACAAAAAAUGGAAGGAAAGGGAGACAGGAAAAAAAAAAAAAAAAAACCGAAAAAAAGAUCACAACUAGUUUCUGGGCUUUCAGAAGUUGUUCCCUCUUAAUAUUCGGCUACAUUAAACUAUAUAAGAAAGAACAGAAUAGUUAAGGAAGAAGCAGAAUCCAGGCCCAAAACUUUGGAUGCAUGCCCAAUUAACCCUUCAUCCGAAGUCCAAAAUUCAAAAAUAGUUCAUAACCCCCAAGAGAACAUCACUAAACCAUACAGCCAUCCCCUCCCGCAUGGUGUCCAUUAUAACACUACACUUGAAGGAAGUGCGUAUGAUACGUGUGUUAGGACGGGGAAAUACAUGGAAUUGACCCAAAUAAAAGAGGCCAUUUUCCAAAUUAACCCUCGACUUUUCCAAACAUUUGUAACUACCUAAUAUACCCUUAAACAAAUAUUAAAAACAACCUAUUUCAUAAUAAAAAUCUUCUAUCUAAGUCCUUAAAAAAUUAACAAGUAACUUUUCUAAAAAUUUGAAAGAAUUAUUAAUUUUUA
Molecule: long non-coding RNA, 1593 nt
Filed under: Olea europaea subsp. europaea
Lineage: Eukaryota; Viridiplantae; Streptophyta; Magnoliopsida; Lamiales; Oleaceae
Source: RNAcentral